UCAGAUGAACGCUAGCUACAGGCUUACACAUGCAAGUCGAGGGGCAUCAGUUUGGUUUGCUUGCAAACCAAAGCUGGCGACCGGCGCACGGGUGAGUAACACGUAUCCAACCUGCCUCAUACUCGGGGAUAGCCUUUCGAAAGAAAGAUUAAUAUCCGAUAGCAUAUAUUUCCCGCAUGGGUUUUAUAUUAAAGAAAUUCGGUAUGAGAUGGGGAUGCGUUCCAUUAGUUUGUUGGGGGGGUAACGGCCCACCAAGACUACGAUGGAUAGGGGUUCUGAGAGGAAGGUCCCCCACAUUGGAACUGAGACACGGUCCAAACUCCUACGGGAGGCAGCAGUGAGGAAUAUUGGUCAAUGGACGCGAGUCUGAACCAGCCAAGUAGCGUGAAGGAUGACUGCCCUAUGGGUUGUAAACUUCUUUUAUAUGGGAAUAAAGUUGUCCACGUGUGGAUUUUUGUAUGUACCAUAUGAAUAAGGAUCGGCUAACUCCGUGCCAGCAGCCGCGGUAAUACGGAGGAUCCGAGCGUUAUCCGGAUUUAUUGGGUUUAAAGGGAGCGUAGGCGGAUUGUUAAGUCAGUUGUGAAAGUUUGCGGCUCAACCGUAAAAUUGCAGUUGAUACUGGCAGUCUUGAGUGCAGUAGAGGUGGGCGGAAUUCGUGGUGUAGCGGUGAAAUGCUUAGAUAUCACGAAGAACUCCGAUUGCGAAGGCAGCUCACUGGAGUGUAACUGACGCUGAUGCUCGAAAGUGUGGGUAUCAACAGGAUA
Molecule: ribosomal RNA, 764 nt
Filed under: Bacteroides caccae
Lineage: Bacteria; Pseudomonadati; Bacteroidota; Bacteroidia; Bacteroidales; Bacteroidaceae
Description: bacterial SSU rRNA
Rfam family: Bacterial small subunit ribosomal RNA
Source: RNAcentral